AACAGGAUUAGAUACCCUGGUAGUCCACGCCGUAAACGAUGCUAACUCGUUUUUGGAUUUUCGGAUUCAGAGACCAAGCGAAAGUGAUAAGUUAGCCACCUGGGGAGUACGAACGCAAGUUUGAAACUCAAAGGAAUUGACGGGGGCCCGCACAAGCGGUGGAUUAUGUGGUUUAAUUCGAUGAUACGCGAGGAACCUUACCAAGACUUAAAUGGGAAUUGACAGAUCUGGAAACAGAUCCUCCUUCGGGCAAUUUUCAAGGUGCUGCAUGGUUGUCGUCAGCUCGUGCCGUGAGGUGUUAGGUUAAGUCCUGCAACGAGCGCAACCCCUGUCACUAGUUGCUAACAUUCAGUUGAGGACUCUAGUGAGACUGCCUACGCAAGUAGAGAGGAAGGUGGGGAUGACGUCAAAUCAUCACGGCCCUUACGUCUUGGGCCACACACGUAAUACAAUGGCCGGUACAGAGGGCAGCUACACAGCGAUGUGAUGCAAAUCUCGAAAGCCGGUCUCAGUUCGGAUUGGAGUCUGCAACUCGACUCUAUGAAGCUGGAAUCGCUAGUAAUCGCGCAUCAGCCAUGGCGCGGUGAAUACGUUCCCGGGCCUUGUACACACCGCCCGUCAAGCCAUGGAAGUUUGGGGUACCUGAAGUCGGUGACCGUAAAAGGAGCUGCCUAGGGUAAAACAAGUAACUAGGGCUAAGUCGUAACAAGGUAACC
Molecule: ribosomal RNA, 716 nt
Filed under: uncultured bacterium
Lineage: Bacteria
Description: bacterial SSU rRNA
Rfam family: Bacterial small subunit ribosomal RNA
Source: RNAcentral